Molecule: ribosomal RNA, 465 nt
Filed under: uncultured bacterium
Lineage: Bacteria
Description: partial 16S ribosomal RNA
Rfam family: Bacterial small subunit ribosomal RNA
Source: RNAcentral
CCUACGGGUGGCUGCAGUAGGGAAUCUUCCACAAUGGACGAAAGUCUGAUGGAGCAACGCCGCGUGAGUGAAGAAGGGUUUCGGCUCGUAAAGCUCUGUUGGUAGUGAAGAAAGCUAUAGGUAGUAACUGGCCUUUAUUUGACGGUAAUUACUUAGACAGUCCCGGCUAACUACGUGACAGCAGCCGCGGUAUUACGUAGGUGGCAAGCGUUGUCCGGAUGUAUUGGGCGUAAAGGGAGUGCAGGCGGUGAAGUAAGUCUGAUGUGAAAGCCUUCGGCUCAACCGUAGAAUUGCACUAGAUACUGGUGAACUGGAGUGUAGAAGAGUAGAGUGGAAUUCCAUGUGUAGCGGUAGAAUGCGUAGAGAUAAGGAAGAACAUCAGAGGCGAAGGCGGCUCGCUGGACUGCAACUGACGCUGAGGCUCGAAAGCAUGGGUAGCGAACAGGAUUAGAUACCCGUGUAGUC